AACCUAGCACACCUGCGGUGUGUACCUGCGGAGGGAUCAUUAUCGAGUUGCAAAACUCCAACCCUUUGUGAACAUACCUCAGUCGUUGCUUCGGCGGUGGACGGCCUGUUUUUCGGAACGGCCGGAAGCCGCCGGAGGUUCCAAACUCGUAUUUUUUAGUGUAUCUCUGAGCCUGAAAACAAAUAAUCAAAACUUUUAGCAAUGGAUCU
RNAcentral lists this unclassified non-coding RNA (209 nucleotides) under soil metagenome. Its description in RNAcentral is "partial contains 5.8S ribosomal RNA, internal transcribed spacer 2, and large subunit ribosomal RNA". The record is from RNAcentral.